Molecule: ribosomal RNA, 2742 nt
Filed under: Holosporales bacterium
Lineage: Bacteria; Pseudomonadati; Pseudomonadota; Alphaproteobacteria; Holosporales
Description: 23S ribosomal RNA
Rfam family: Bacterial large subunit ribosomal RNA
Source: RNAcentral
AAUCAAGCGCAAAAGGGCAUUUAGUGGAUGCCUUGGCAUUGAGAGGCGAUGAAGGACGUAGUACACUGCGAAAAGCCGUGGGGAGAUGUGAACAAUCUUUGAUCCAUGGAUAUCCGAAUGGGGAAACCCACCGCAAGUGCGGUAUCUUUAUCUGAAUACAUAGGGUAAAGGGGCAAACCUGGGGAACUGAACCAUCUAAGUACCCAGAGGAAAGGACAUCAAACGAGACUCCGCUAGUAGUGGUGAGCGAACGCGGACCAGGCCAGUGGUUGUAUGAAAAGUAGUGGAAGAGAGUUGGAAAACUCCGCAAUAUAGGUGAUAGCCCUGUACACGGUUACUCAAAUAUGACCCUAGAGUAAGACGGGACACGUGAAAUCCUGUUUGAAGAUGGGGGGACCACCCUCCAAGCCUAAGUACUACUCAAUGACCGAUAGUGAACAAGUACAGUGAUGGAAAGGUGAAAAGAACCUCGAGUAGAGGAGUGAAAUAGACCUGAAACUGAAUGCCUACAAUCAGUUGGAGCAGCAUAAGCUGUGACAGCGUACCUUUUGCAUAAUGGGUCAGCGAGUUCGUGUUUGUAGCAAGCUUAAGCCGAUAGGUGUAGGCGCAGGGAAACCGAGUCUGAAUAGGGCGAUAAGUUACAAGCAUGAGACCCGAAACCGGGUGAUCUAACCAUGAGCAGGCUGAAGGUAAGGUAACACUUAACGGAGGGCCGAACUCGUUUCUGUUGCAAUAGAAUGAGAUGACUUGUGGUUAGGGGUGAAAGGCCAAUCAAACUCGGAUAUAGCUGGUUCUCCGCGAAAUCUAUUUAGGUAGAGCGUCGAGGUUAAUGCUGUUGGGGGUAGAGCACUGAAUGGACUAGGGGGGAGCGAUCCUUACCAAAUCCAAUCAAACUCCGAAUACCAGCAGACUAUACUCGGCAGACACACGGUGGGAGCUAAGUUCCAUCGUGAAAAGGGAAAGAGCCCUAACCGUCCGCUAAGGUCCCAAAGUUAUAACUAAGUGGCAAAGAAUGUGGAAUGACCAUAACAAUCAGGAGGUUGGCUUGGAAGCAGCCAUCCUUUAAAGAAAGCGUAAUAGCUCACUGAUCUAGUUAAGUUGUUCUGCGUCGAAGAUGUAACGGGGCUAAAGUUAUACACCGAAGCGGCGGGCUGAUUGAAUAAAUCAGCGGUAGCGGAGCGUUUUUAAAACCUGUGAAGCGGUACUCGUGAGAGGCCGUGGAGGGAUAAAAAGUGAGAAUGCUGACAUGAGUAACGAUAAACGGUGUGAAAAACACCGUCGCCGAAAAUCCAAGGGUUCCUACGCAAUGUUAAUCAGCGUAGGGUUAGUCGAAGCCUAAGGCGAGGACGAAAGUCGUAGUCGAUGGUAAUACGGUUAAUAUUCCGUAACCGGUGGGAUAGGGACGAAUCCUGUAAGUUGUAUAGCCUAAUUGGAUUGGCUGUGCAGCGAAAGGGUUCCAGGAAAUACCUCCCACAGAAGUUCGUACCCGAAACCGACACAGGUGGAUGAGUAGAAUAUACUAAGGCGCUUGAAAGAACGAUGCUGAAGGAACUCGGCAAAUUGCUCCUGUAACUUCGGGAAAAGGGAGACCCUUUGAAAGGCAACUUUUGGAGGGUGGCACAAAAAUGGGGGUAGCGACUGUUUACCAAAAACACAGAACUCUGCUAACACGAAAGUGGAUGUAUAGGGUUUGACGCCUGCCCGGUGCUGGAAGGUUAAGAGGAGGUGUGCAAGCACUGAAUUGAAGCCCCAGUAAACGGCGGCCGUAACUAUAACGGUCCUAAGGUAGCGAAAUUCCUUGUCGGGUAAGUUCCGACCUGCACGAAUGGCGUAACGACUUCCCCGCUGUCUCCAGCAUCGAUUCAGUGAAAUUGGAAUCCCUGUGAAAAUACAGGGUUCCCGCGGUCAGACGGAAAGACCCCGUGCACCUUUACUACAGCUUUGCAGUGGUAUUAGGGAGUUCAUGUGUAGGAUAGGUGGGAGCCGAUGAAGCAAGCGCGUCAGCGAGUGUGGAGGCAACCUUGAAAUACCACCCUUGAACUUUUUGAUGCCUAACUGAGGUCCUCACAGGAUCCAGGACCCUGCAUGGCGGGUAGUUUGACUGGGGCGGUCGCCUCCCAAAGAGUAACGGAGGCGCGCGAAGGUAGGCUCAAGUUGGUCGGAAAUCAACAGAUGAGUGUAAUGGCAUAAGCCUGCCUGACUGCAAGACAAACAAGUCGAGCAGAGACGAAAGUCGGUCAUAGUGACCCGGUGGUCCCGAGUGGAAGGGCCAUCGAUCAACGGAUAAAAGGUACGCCGGGGAUAACAGGCUGAUCUCCCCCAAGAGUCCACAUCGACGGGGAGGUUUGGCACCUCGAUGUCGGCUCAUCACAUCCUGGGGCUGUAGAAGGUCCCAAGGGUUCGGCUGUUCGCCGAUUAAAGUGGUACGUGAGCUGGGUUCAGAACGUCGCGAGACAGUUUGGUCCCUAUCUGCCGUGGGCGUUGGAAUAUUGAGAGGAGCUGUCCCUAGUACGAGAGGACCGGGAUGGACGUACCUCUGGUGUAUCGGUUGUCGCGCCAGCGGCAGCGCCGAGUAGCUACAGUACGGACGAGAUAACCGCUGAAAGCAUCUAAGCGGGAAACUUACCUCGAGAUUGAUAUUCCCUAUUAGGGUCGUGGUAGACUACCACGUUGAUAGGUGGAGUGUGUAAGCACAGUAAUGUGUUCAGCUAAUCCAUACUAAUUCCCGAUAGGCUUGAUUCU